This is a small nuclear RNA of Pteronotus mesoamericanus, 107 nucleotides long. NCBI's taxonomy places the organism in Eukaryota, Metazoa, Chordata, Mammalia, Chiroptera, Mormoopidae. The record is from RefSeq and is a predicted model, not a curated record.
GUGCUUGCUUCAGCAGCACAUACACUAAAUUUGGAACAAUACGGAGAAGGUUAGUGUGGCCCCUGCUCCAGGAUGACACCCAAGUUCGUGGCGCGUUCCACGUUUUG